This 72-nucleotide transfer RNA is filed under the name Fusarium graminearum. RNAcentral's name for it is "tRNA-His (GTG) (tRNA-His-GTG-1-1)". It matches the Rfam family "tRNA". Rfam says of the family: Transfer RNA (tRNA) molecules are approximately 80 nucleotides in length. Their secondary structure includes four short double-helical elements and three loops (D, anti-codon, and T loops). Further hydrogen bonds mediate the characteristic L-shaped molecular structure. tRNAs have two regions of fundamental functional importance: the anti-codon, which is responsible for specific mRNA codon recognition, and the 3' end, to which the tRNAs corresponding amino acid is attached (by aminoacyl-tRNA synthetases). tRNAs cope with the degeneracy of the genetic code in two manners: having more than one tRNA (with a specific anti-codon) for a particular amino acid; and 'wobble' base-pairing, i.e. permitting non-standard base-pairing at the 3rd anti-codon position. RNAcentral also lists the same sequence under 3 other names. Lineage: Eukaryota; Fungi; Ascomycota; Sordariomycetes; Hypocreales; Nectriaceae. The record is from RNAcentral.
GCCGUCAUCGUAUAGGGGUCAGUACACCAGUUUGUGGCACUGGAAACGCAAGUUCGAGUCUUGCUGACGGCA